CUUCUUCUUCUCCUCCUCCUCCUCUUCCUCGCGGGCCCGCGCCCCUGCCCGCCGGGGUCCCCCUUGCCGCCGCUGGGGCCGCGGCCCGCGCCGCCGAGCCGAGCUGCGCUGCCGCCGCGCUGCCGGGGCGGCCGCUGCCCGCGGGCCCGGCUGCCUGGGCGGCGGAACGUGCCGGUAGCGAGGGACGGAGCCGCGCGGGGGAGGGGAGGGGGGAAAAGAGGGGCAGCCUCGAUCUGGGCCGGCCGGCCGCGCCCGCUGAUUGGCCGCGGCGCCCGAGGCCGGCGGCGAAUAGGAAGCAGGGAGGCAGAGGGAGGGAGCAGCGCGGCGGCGUGACGCGAGCGCUGACGGCCGCCGCGCGGGGGCGGGGCGCCGGCCUUUCGAGGAGGUUCGGCCGCUUCCCUCAGGCGCGGCGGCGGCGGCCAUUUUGGGUGGCGGGUGCGGACCGGGUCGGGAGGGGCGGCAGCCGCGGCGGGGCCGUACCGUGCCUGACCGCCCUCCUUCCCUCCUUCCGCCGCCGCGCUCACCCAGCUGAAAUUCAGCAACGGGAUCAUCCUUCGUCCCGCUCGACUUCGUAUUCGCCGACCCCCAGGCUUUGGCGCCAAGGCGGCUGCUUUUGGAAAGAGGAAGAAGUAGUGCGCAGGAAACGGCUGCAGGCACCUUGGCAGCCUCCUGAGAGACCCGGGGAACCCCUGUGUGGCUGUGGGCCUGCUGCAGAGCUGCCAUGGGGAUGCUCUGCUCUAUGUUCUCGCCGAAUGCGGCCAGAAGUCCCGCUUUCUCUGCAUCUUCCUACCUGCAUAACACACCUUUCGGGGCCCCUUCACAAAACGUGGUGAGUGCUCAGGGAGGUGCUUUGCUCCAAGUGCAGAAGAAGAGGAGAGGAAGUUUUGUAACAGUGAAUUCUCUGUCCACUAACUCCUCAUCCUAAAGAAGCCUCCAACUAAGCUAUUUAUUCAUAAAAUACAGAAAAAAACAACUAACUCCAACAGCAGCAGAACUAAUUAAGUCUGGGUUCUCUGGAUUUAUGUCCUCUUGUUGGCUUUCUUUUGACUAAAAUGGAACAUUUAUCUCCCAGGGGAUGUCUCUUGUACCUUAUCAGCCUUUCCUUCAAUGGGGGCACCAGUAUGGUCACCUUUCUCUGUCUCACUGCUUUUCUUAAUUAAACUUUUAGGCAUGUAAUUCCUUUGAGAAUCCUCCUCUCUGUCCAAAUUGAUUAAUAUUUAAGGCUUAAAAGUUAUUAAAAAAAGUAGGGGUCUAGGUGGACAGAUGACAUGGCCAAAGUGUCGCUUCUUUUGGACACCAAGCUCAUAGAAAACCCAAUAUUUAAUACAUGAUAUUCUGCAAAGUGAAGGGAAUAAUUUUACUUUCUUCAAAGUAUAAUGGAAA
This 1383-nucleotide long non-coding RNA is filed under the name Apteryx rowi (Okarito brown kiwi). RNAcentral's name for it is "lncRNA (ENSARWG00000015461.1)". The record is from RNAcentral. Lineage: Eukaryota; Metazoa; Chordata; Aves; Apterygiformes; Apterygidae.